CCAGCUCCAAUAGCGUAUACUAAAGUUGUUGCAGUUAAAAAGCUCGUAGUUGGAUUUCUGGUUGUGGCAAACGGUCCGCCCUAAACAGGGUGUGUGCUUAUUGCCUCUUCCAUCCUUGAGGACAACGUGUCUGUCAUUAACUUGUCGGGCACGGUAUCCUCGUCAUUUACUGUGAGCAAAAUAGAGUGUUCAAAGCAGGCAUGUCCGUUGAAUAUAUUAGCAUGGAAUAAUAAGAUAGGACCUUGGUCUAUUUUAUUGGUUAGCAUUCCAAGGUAAUGAUUAAUAGGGAUAGUUGGGGGUAUUCGUAUUCAAUUGUCAGAGGUGAAAUUCUUGGAUUUAUGGAAGACGAACUACUGCGAAAGCAUUUACCAAAUAUGUUUUCA
RNAcentral lists this ribosomal RNA (383 nucleotides) under Mallomonas matvienkoae. RNAcentral's name for it is "SSU rRNA". It matches the Rfam family "Eukaryotic small subunit ribosomal RNA", at positions 585 to 972 of the family's 1831-position model. Lineage: Eukaryota; Synurophyceae; Synurales; Mallomonadaceae. The record is from RNAcentral. RNAcentral also lists the same sequence under 1 other name.